CGAGCGGCGGACGGGCUGAGUAACGCGUGGGAACAUACCCUAAAGUGAGGGAUAACUACUCGAAAGAGUGGCUAAUACCGCAUAUGAUCUUCGGAUUAAAGCAUUUAUGCGCUUUAGGAAUGGCCUGCGUACGAUUAGAUAGUUGGUGAGGUAAAGGCUCACCAAGUCGACGAUCGUUAGAUGGUUUGAGAGGAUGAUCAUCCAGACUGGGACUGAGACACGGCCCAGACUCCUACGGAAGGCAGCAG
RNAcentral lists this ribosomal RNA (248 nucleotides) under uncultured bacterium. Its description in RNAcentral is "partial 16S ribosomal RNA". It matches the Rfam family "Bacterial small subunit ribosomal RNA", at positions 92 to 354 of the family's 1533-position model. The record is from RNAcentral.